This 463-nucleotide ribosomal RNA is filed under the name Vreelandella stevensii. Its description in RNAcentral is "partial 16S ribosomal RNA". It matches the Rfam family "Bacterial small subunit ribosomal RNA", at positions 338 to 793 of the family's 1533-position model. The record is from RNAcentral. Lineage: Bacteria; Pseudomonadati; Pseudomonadota; Gammaproteobacteria; Oceanospirillales; Halomonadaceae.
CCUACGGGCGGCAGCAGUGGGGAAUAUUGGACAAUGGGGGCAACCCUGAUCCAGCCAUGCCGCGUGUGUGAAGAAGGCCCUCGGGUUGUAAAGCACUUUCAGUGAGGAAGAACGCCUGGUGGUUAAUACCUAUCAGGAAAGACAUCACUCACAGAAGAAGCACCGGCUAACUCCGUGCCAGCAGCCGCGGUAAUACGGAGGGUGCGAGCGUUAAUCGGAAUUACUGGGCGUAAAGCGCGCGUAGGUGGCUUGAUAAGCCGGUUGUGAAAGCCCCGGGCUCAACCUGGGAACGGCAUCCGGAACUGUCAAGCUAGAGUGCAGGAGAGGAAGGUAGAAUUCCCGGUGUAGCGGUGAAAUGCGUAGAGAUCGGGAGGAAUACCAGUGGCGAAGGCGGCCUUCUGGACUGACACUGACACUGAGGUGCGAAAGCGUGGGUAGCAAACAGGAUUAGAUACCCUGGUAC